GACAGAGGGUGCAAACGUUGUUCGGAAUUACUGGGCGUAAAGCGCGUGUAGGCGGCCAUGCAAGUCGGAUGUGGAAGCCCUCGGCUCAACCGGGGAAGUGCACUCGAAACUGCAAGGCUAGAGUCUCGGAGAGGAUCGUGGAAUUCUCGGUGUAGAGGUGAAAUUCGUAGAUAUCGAGAGGAACACCGGUGGCGAAGGCGGCGAUCUGGACGAUGACUGACGCUGAGACGCGAAAGCGUGGGGAGCAAACAGG
Molecule: ribosomal RNA, 253 nt
Filed under: uncultured bacterium
Lineage: Bacteria
Description: partial 16S ribosomal RNA
Rfam family: Bacterial small subunit ribosomal RNA
Source: RNAcentral